AAGGAAUAUUGGGCAAUGGAGGCAACUCUGACCCAGCCAUCCCGCGUGAAGGAUUAAGGCCCUAUGGGUUGUAAACUUCUUUUGUUUGGGAAGAAAUCAGGACAUUUAUGUGCUGUUGACGGUACCUUACGAAUAAGCACCGGCUAACUCCGUGCCAGCAGCCGCGGUAAUACGGAGGGUGCAAGCGUUAUCCGGAAUCACUGGGUUUAAAGGGUGCGUAGGCGGUUUGAUAAGUCAGAGGUGAAAGCUAGCAGCUUAACUGUUAAAUUGCCUUUGAUACUGUCAGACUUGAAUCAGGUUGAGGUAGGCGGAAUGUGACAUGUAGCGGUGAAAUGCAUAGAUAUGUCAUAGAACACCAAUUGCGUAGGCAGCUUGCUGGGCUUGAAUUGACGCUGAGGCACGAAAGCGUGGGGAUCAAAC
This 420-nucleotide ribosomal RNA is filed under the name uncultured bacterium. RNAcentral's name for it is "bacterial SSU rRNA". It matches the Rfam family "Bacterial small subunit ribosomal RNA", at positions 356 to 773 of the family's 1533-position model. The record is from RNAcentral.